This is a long non-coding RNA of Ornithodoros turicata, 458 nucleotides long. RefSeq lists it as uncharacterized. The transcript has 3 exons. The record is from RefSeq and is a predicted model, not a curated record. NCBI's taxonomy places the organism in Eukaryota, Metazoa, Arthropoda, Arachnida, Ixodida, Argasidae.
CAAUGAGAAGUAGGAGCUACAUUUUUGCGCGGAAGCACCUGGAAGAGUGAGUGACGCGGCAAUGAUACCCCUCAGGAUCUAGCGUCUUGUCAACAGCCGCCGCAGCGAUCAUGGCAACUUCUUGCAAUUACGGUCGUACCAGCCGUACUGGGAAGGUUACAGCGCCUAAAUUUAUACAGGUUUCGUCAUGAGGGCUACCCAGUGAAUAAUCUGUGCAGUGUGAUACGGCUGGGUGUACAGGUUACUUCACAGCUGCCUCGACAUACUCAAGAAAUGGAUGCAGAACCUACGUAAUGCCCACAAACUUUGACUACCACAGCACCUCCAGAAAGUAAAGGGAUAUGUGUCACAUGGGAUUUAUAAAGGCAUUCACAGUAUAUAAUACCUUGUAUGAACUGUUGUAGAUCUAAGCAGCCUCUACGGUACACUCUCAGAAAUUAAAACUUGUCAGAGAACUG